UUGAUAAAUAGGCUUAUAAUUUCACAGAUGUGCAAAGACAAUUUGGUGUGGAAUAUUCUGCAUUCGACGAAAUAGAUCAUUUUGCAAGAGCUGCAAUAGUCGACGUCUGCGGAGAAGAAUUUUUGGAGCUUAUAACACAGCCAGGAUUUGGUCCGUCGCAGCCAGAGGAA
Long non-coding RNA from Sinocyclocheilus rhinocerous, 170 nucleotides. RefSeq lists it as uncharacterized. Lineage: Eukaryota; Metazoa; Chordata; Actinopteri; Cypriniformes; Cyprinidae. The record is from RefSeq and is a predicted model, not a curated record. The transcript has 3 exons.